AUGCUCCGCCGUCUCCUCUCUUCUCCAUCCACCUCAACCUCCACCUAUGCCAUCUUCCCACUCCGCCGUAUCCUCUCCGCCGCCGCGCCCCACAUUUCCCCAAAUCCCAGUGGCUUUGCCGUCGAGGAGUACCUCGUCGACACCUGCGGCCUCACCCGGCCCCAAGCCCUCAAGGCCUCCAAGAAGCUCUCCCACCUUAGGUCCCCCACCAAGCCCGACGCCGUCCUCGCCUUCCUCGCCGGCCUCGGCCUCUCCGGCGCCGAUGCCGCCGCCGUCGUCGUCAAAGACCCGAAGUUCCUCUGCGCCAAAGUGGACAAAACCCUGGCCCCCGUCGUCGCCGGGCUCGCCGGCCUCGGUCUCUCGCGUCCUGAGAUCGCCCGCCUAGUCUCGGUUGCCCACUGCUACUUCCGAACCAGGCCCAUCGUCUCCAAGACGCACUACUACCUGCCCCUCUUCGGCUCCUUGGACAACUUCCUCCGGGCGCUCCAGCGCUCGCCUUGCCUACUCUCGUCGGACCUCGGCAAGGUGAUCAAGCCCAAUGUCGUGUUCCUGCGGGAGUGCGGCCUAAGUGACUGCGAUAUUGUCAAGGUGUGUAUCCCUGUGCCGAGGAUGCUGACCACCGACCCAGAGCGCGUCCGCGCGAUGGUGGCAUGUGCUGAAAGAUUAGGCGUGCCUCGUGGCGCUGGGAUGUUCAGGCCAGCGCUACAGGCUGUCGCGUUUCUCAGCGAGGAGAAGAUUGCCGCCAAAGUGGACUACUUGAAGAAUACAUUCAGGUGGUCUGAUGCCCAAGUGAGCAUUGCUCUCUGUAAGGCUCCGUUUAUCCUGAAGAAGUCGAAGGAAUCUCUCAAGCGUAGGUCCGAGUUCCUCUUCUCUGAGGUGGGGUUGGAACCCGUGUACAUUGCUCAUCGGCCCAUAUUUCUCAGUCUUAGCCUGGAGGGCCGGGUCAGGCCCCGGUACUAUGUUCUCAAGUUCCUCAAGGAAAAUGGAUUGGUAGAUCGUGACCUGAGCUUCCAUACUGCAGUCAAUAGGCCUGAGAAGUUUUUCGUGGAGAAGUUCAUAUGCCCUCACAAGGAAGCCGCACCGCACCUCGCUGAAGACUAUGCAAUCGCUUGCAAAGGGGAAGUGCCAACUAAAACCAAAAAUGGGCCAAGGAAAUUGGUUACUGCGUAUGGCACAACAUAG
This 1182-nucleotide ribosomal RNA is filed under the name Triticum aestivum (bread wheat). RNAcentral describes it as "partial small subunit ribosomal RNA". The record is from RNAcentral. Lineage: Eukaryota; Viridiplantae; Streptophyta; Magnoliopsida; Poales; Poaceae.